AUUGAACGCUGGCGGCAGGCUUAACACAUGCAAGUCGAGCGGGGUGAUGGUGCUUGCACUAUCACUUAGCGGCGGACGGGUGAGUAAUGCUUAGGAAUCUGCCUAUUAGUGGGGGACAACAUCUCGAAAGGGAUGCUAAUACCGCAUACGUCCUACGGGAGAAAGCAGGGGAUCACUUGUGACCUUGCGCUAAUAGAUGAGCCUAAGUCGGAUUAGCUAGUUGGUGGGGUAAAGGCCUACCAAGGCGACGAUCUGUAGCGGGUCUGAGAGGAUGAUCAGACACACUGGAACGGAGAGACGGUCCAGACGCCUACGGGAGGCAGCAGUGGGGAAUUUUGGAAAAUGGGGGCAACCCUGAUCCAGCCAUGCCGCGUGAGUGAAGAAGGCCUUCGGGUUGUAAAGCUCUUUCGGCCGGGAAGAAAUCGCACGGGCUAAUACCCUGUGUGGAUGACGGUACCGGAAUAAGAAGCACCGGCUAACUACGUGCCAGCCGCCGCGGUAA
This 502-nucleotide ribosomal RNA is filed under the name uncultured bacterium. Its description in RNAcentral is "partial 16S ribosomal RNA". It matches the Rfam family "Bacterial small subunit ribosomal RNA", at positions 30 to 523 of the family's 1533-position model. The record is from RNAcentral.